RNAcentral lists this transfer RNA (75 nucleotides) under bacterium. RNAcentral's name for it is "tRNA-Glu". It matches the Rfam family "tRNA". From Rfam's summary of the family: Transfer RNA (tRNA) molecules are approximately 80 nucleotides in length. Their secondary structure includes four short double-helical elements and three loops (D, anti-codon, and T loops). Further hydrogen bonds mediate the characteristic L-shaped molecular structure. tRNAs have two regions of fundamental functional importance: the anti-codon, which is responsible for specific mRNA codon recognition, and the 3' end, to which the tRNAs corresponding amino acid is attached (by aminoacyl-tRNA synthetases). tRNAs cope with the degeneracy of the genetic code in two manners: having more than one tRNA (with a specific anti-codon) for a particular amino acid; and 'wobble' base-pairing, i.e. permitting non-standard base-pairing at the 3rd anti-codon position. The record is from RNAcentral. RNAcentral also lists the same sequence under 1 other name.
GUUCCCAUCGACUAGCGGUCAGGUCACCACCCUUUCACGGUGGCAGCACGGGUUCGAAUCCCGUUGGGAACGCCA